ACGGCUCAGUAACACGUCGAUAAUCUAACCUAAGGUUGAGGAUACCCACGGAAAACUGUGGCUAAUACUUGAUAACGAAAGGAUUCUGGAACGAACCUUUAGUCAAACGCAAGGCCUUAGGAUGAGUCGGCGGCGGAUUAGGCUGUUGGCGGUGUAAUGGACCACCAAACCAUAGAUCCGUAGGGGCCCUGAAAGGGGUAGCCCCGAGAGGGACACUGAAAUACUGGUCCCAGCUCCACGGAGUGCAGCAGGCGCGUAACCUCCACAAUGCGCGAAAGCGUGAUGGGGGGAUCCCGAGUGCUUACACAAUUGUGUAAGCUUUUGCCAAGGGCAAACACCUUGGAGAAUAAGUGGUGGGUAAGACCGGUGCCAGCAGCCGCGGUAACCCCGGCGCCACGAGUGGCAAUCUUUUAUUGGGCCUAAAGCAUUCGUAGCCGGUUUAAUAAAUCCUUUGUGAAAUCGUCGAACUCAAUACGACGGCGUGCAGGGGACACUGUUAAGCUAGAGACUGGGAGGAGUGGGGGGUAUGCCUAGGGGAGCGGUUAAAUGUGAUAAUCCUAGGUAGACCACCUGUGGCGAAGGCGCCCCACUAGAACAGUUCUGACGGUGAGGGAUGAAAGCUAGGGGAGCGAUCCGGAUUAGAUACCCGAGUAGUCCUCGCUGUAAACACUGCGAGCUAGGUGUCGCAUAUUCUACGCGAAUAUGCGGUGUCGAAACGAAGGUGCUAAGCUCGCCGCCUG
RNAcentral lists this ribosomal RNA (740 nucleotides) under uncultured euryarchaeote. RNAcentral's name for it is "bacterial SSU rRNA". It matches the Rfam family "Archaeal small subunit ribosomal RNA", at positions 85 to 830 of the family's 1478-position model. Lineage: Archaea; Methanobacteriati; Methanobacteriota. The record is from RNAcentral.